Molecule: ribosomal RNA, 625 nt
Filed under: Colocasiomyia ecornuta
Lineage: Eukaryota; Metazoa; Arthropoda; Insecta; Diptera; Drosophilidae
Description: Colocasiomyia sp. 1 JJG-2021b partial large subunit ribosomal RNA
Rfam family: Eukaryotic large subunit ribosomal RNA
Source: RNAcentral
AAUGUGAGAUGCGGUGUACGAAACAUCAAUAUUCUGGCAUGAGAAAUUAAUGAUUUAAGUCCUUCUUAAAUGAGGCCAUUUACCCAUAGAGGGUGCCAGGCCCGUAUAACAUUAAUGAUUGCCAGAUGGUGAUUUCAGUGAGUCGUGUUGCUUGAUAGUGCAGCACUAAAAUGGGUGGUAAACUCCAUCAAAAACUAAAUAUGACCAUGAGACCGAUAGUAAACAAGUACCGUGAGGGAAAGUUGAAAAGAACUCUGAAUAGAGAGUUAAAUAGUACGUGAAACUGCUUUGAGGUUAAGCCCGAUGAGCCUGAAUAUCCAUUAUGGAAAAUUCAUCAUUAAAGUUGUAAUAUUUAAAAAAAUAUUAUAGCGAUAGUGUGCAUUUUUUCCAUAUAAGGACAUUGUAAUCUAUUAGCAAAAUUAAUUUAUCAUAAAAUAUAGCUUAUAGUUUAUUUUAAAUUAUUGUGCAUGCACUUUAAUAUAAAAUAAAUGCUAUUUCAUUUGAUAAAAUGUUGAUAGAUUUAUAUUAAAUACAGUGCGUUAAUUUUAUGGAAUUAUAUAAUGGCAUGAUAAUCUUACGAUUUUUAUGUUUAUUAUAUGCACUUGUAUGAUUAACAAUGCGAAAG